UACGUAGGGUGCAGGCGUUAAUCGGAAUUACUGGGCGUAAAGCGUGCGCAGGCGGUUUGCUAAGACAGGUGUGAAAUCCCCGGGCUUAACCUGGGAGCUGCGCUUGUUACUGGCAGGCUUGAGUGUGGCAGAGGGGGGGUGGAAUUCCACGUGUAGCAGUGAAAUGCGUAGAGAUGUGGAGGAACACCGAUGGCGAAGGCAGCCCCCCUGGGCUAACACUGACGCUCGAUGCACGAAAGCGUGGGGAGCAAACAGG
This 256-nucleotide ribosomal RNA is filed under the name uncultured bacterium. RNAcentral describes it as "partial 16S ribosomal RNA". It matches the Rfam family "Bacterial small subunit ribosomal RNA", at positions 524 to 776 of the family's 1533-position model. The record is from RNAcentral.